AAUAACUAUAAACACAUUAAAUUCUUUUUCGCGAAAAAGUACGAGCUAAUAAAUUUAACUUUUUAGUGUAUAGAUUAUAUGUUGCAAAAUAUAACUUAUAGAUUUUUUUAGGGGUGAUAGGCCUAUCAAGUACUUGGAUAUCUUGAUUUAUAAUAAAUAUAUUAAGUAUUACGACAAUUUAAAAACUAUAAGGUUUUUAAAAUAUACUAUUUGUAUUUUGUGGACAGCAAAAGACUUAACAGUUAUUGUGUAAACUUGAAAAUAAUUCAGUAUUAUUUAUAUGUAUAGAUAAUUAUAACAUAUUGAUUAACUUAUAAUUAAAUAGAUAAUGUUAUUAUUAGUAUGUAAUUAACUUUAGUUAAGGAACUCGGCAAGAAAUCUCACUCAACUGUUUAUCAAAAACAUUGCCCUUAGUUAUUCUUAAGGGUUAACCCUGCUCCAUGGACUUCUAAAUAGCCGCAGUACUCUGACUGUGCAAAGGUAGCAUAAUCAUUUGUUUCAUAAUUGGAAUCUAGUAUGAACGGGAAUAUGGGUGAGUUCUGUCUCGCUAUAAUAAAAUGAAAUUAAUUAAUAAGUGAAAAUACUUAUAUAUAUAAAAAAGACGAGAAGACCCUAGAAAUUUUAUAUAUAUGUAUUAAUUGCAAUCUAUUUUGUUGGGGCGACAUGAUAACAUAAAACUUAUCUAAGUAAAUCUAAACUAUUUUUAAAUAAUAAUAAAAUUACUCUAGGGAUAACAGCAUAAUGUAUAGUAAGUUUGUGACCUCGAUGUUGGACUAGGAUAGCUACCACUUAAAAGGCGGUAGUGAAGGCUCUGUUCGAGCUUUUAACUCCUACAUGAUCUGAGUUCAGACCGG
RNAcentral lists this ribosomal RNA (854 nucleotides) under Metafruticicola sublecta. RNAcentral's name for it is "partial 16S ribosomal RNA". The record is from RNAcentral. Lineage: Eukaryota; Metazoa; Mollusca; Gastropoda; Stylommatophora; Hygromiidae.